AGCUCUAACAUAUUCACAAGUACUACACUAGCCAACUCCAGAGAAUAAGCAAAGGAGAAAAUUUCUGAGAAGCCAUGGCAGAGGAGGAUAUAUACGCAAAAGAUGGAACUGUAGACUACCGUGGGAAUCCUGCUAACAGAAAGGAAACUGGAACCUGGAGAGCCUGCCCCUUCAUUAUAGGAAAUGAAUGUUGUGAAAGAUUGGCUUAUUAUGGGAUGAGCUCCAAUUUGGUUCUUUAUUUCAAGAACAUAUUAAAUCAGCAGAGUGCUACUGCUGCUAAAAAUAACUCUGAUUGGAGCGGAACAUGCUAUACUACACCGUUGAUCGGAGCAUUUCUGGCUGAUGCUUAUCUAGGAAGAUACUGGACGAUUGCAAUUUUCUCCAUCAUUUAUGUGAUUGGAAUGACGCUUUUAGCAAUGUCAGCAUCUGUCCCUGGUCUAAAGCCGAAAUGUUACGCAAAAAACGACUGUGAUCCAACUGAUGCACAAAGUGCCGCGUGCUUUGUAGCACUUUACCUGAUAGCUCUGGGCACAGGAGGUAUUAAGCCUUGUGUCUCAUCCUAUGGAGCAGAUCAGUUUGAUGAUACAGAUGAGGUAGAGAAGAAGCACAAAGGCUCUUUCUUCAACUGGUUCUACUUCUCAAUUAAUGUUGGAGCUCUUAUAGCUUCCUCCGUGCUGGUUUAUGUACAAGACAAUUGGAGUUGGGGAUGGGGUUUUGGCAUUCCU
Molecule: unclassified non-coding RNA, 725 nt
Filed under: Hevea brasiliensis (rubber tree)
Lineage: Eukaryota; Viridiplantae; Streptophyta; Magnoliopsida; Malpighiales; Euphorbiaceae
Source: RNAcentral